Molecule: non-coding RNA, 45 nt
Filed under: Trichobilharzia regenti
Lineage: Eukaryota; Metazoa; Platyhelminthes; Trematoda; Strigeidida; Schistosomatidae
Source: RNAcentral
AUCUAGAUGACGGGUCCUAAAGAGGACGAAAUGAGCAUCUUGGAU